UACGUAGGAGACUAACGUUAUCCGGAGUUACUGGGCGUAAAGGGCGCGUAGGUGGUUCUGUAAGUCUGGCGUGAAAUUUUUCGGCUUAACCGGGAAAGGUCGUCGGAUACUGCAGGGCUAGAGGACGGUAGAGGCGUGUGGAAUUCCGGGUGUAGUGGUGAAAUGCGUAGAGAUCCGGAGGAACACCAGUGGCGAAGGCGACACGCUGGGCCGUACCUGACACUGAUGCGCGACAGCAUGGGGAGCAAACAGG
Molecule: ribosomal RNA, 253 nt
Filed under: uncultured bacterium
Lineage: Bacteria
Description: partial 16S ribosomal RNA
Rfam family: Bacterial small subunit ribosomal RNA
Source: RNAcentral